GUGAACAAGGCGCCAGAGGCAGAGGGAAGACGUAGAGUGAAAGCGUUAAUCUGAAUUUCUGGGCGUAAAGCGUGCGCAGGCGGGUGUGUAAGGCAGGGUGGAAAGCACCGGGCGCAACCUGGGAAGUGCGCUUGUGACUGCAAGGCUGGAGUGCGGCAGAGGGGGAUGGAAUGCCGCGUGUAGCAGUGAAAUGCGUUGAUAUGCGGAGGAACACCGAUGGCGAAGGCAAUCCCCUGGGCCUGCACUGACGCUCAUGCACGAAAGCGUGGGGAGCAAACAGGAUUAGAUACCCCUGUAGUC
RNAcentral lists this ribosomal RNA (300 nucleotides) under uncultured Sulfophobococcus sp. RNAcentral describes it as "bacterial SSU rRNA". It matches the Rfam family "Bacterial small subunit ribosomal RNA", at positions 496 to 795 of the family's 1533-position model. The record is from RNAcentral. Lineage: Archaea; Thermoproteati; Thermoproteota; Thermoprotei; Desulfurococcales; Desulfurococcaceae.